CGCGGGAGCAAUCCUGGCGGCGAGUGGCGAACGGGUGAGUAAUGUAUCGGAACGUAUCCUGUAAUGGGGGAUAACCAGUCGAAAGAUUGGGUAAUACCGCAUACGCACGAGAGUGGAAAGUGGAGGAUCGCAAGACUUCACGUUACAGGAGCGGCCGAUAUCUGAUUAGCUAGUUGGUGGGGUAAAGGCCUACCAAGGCGACGAUCAGUAGCUGGUCUGAGAGGACGACCAGCCACACUGGGACUGAGACACGGCCCAGACUCCUACGGGAGGCAGCAGUGGGGAAUUUUGGACAAUGGGCGAAAGCCUGAUCCAGCCAUGCCGCGUGCAGGAAGAAGGCCUUCGGGUUGUAAACUGCUUUAGUCCAGGAAAAAGGGAUGCCCGGUUAAUACCUGGGUGUUUUGAUGGUACUGGAAGAAUAAGCACCGGCUAACUACGUGCCAGCAGCCGCGGUAAUACGUAGGGUGCGAGCGUUAAUCGGAAUUACUGGGCGUAAAGCGUGCGCAGGCGGUCUUGUAAGACAGUCGUGAAAUCCCUGGGCUUAACCUAGGAACUGCGAUUGUGACUGCAAGGCUAGAGUGUGUCAGAGGGGGGUGGAAUUCCACGUGUAGCAGUGAAAUGCGUAGAGAUGUGGAGGAACACCGAUGGCGAAGGCAGCCCCCUGGGAUAACACUGACGCUCAUGCACG
This 688-nucleotide ribosomal RNA is filed under the name uncultured bacterium. Its description in RNAcentral is "bacterial SSU rRNA". It matches the Rfam family "Bacterial small subunit ribosomal RNA", at positions 72 to 755 of the family's 1533-position model. The record is from RNAcentral.